RNAcentral lists this ribosomal RNA (365 nucleotides) under Vibrio sp. RNAcentral describes it as "bacterial SSU rRNA". It matches the Rfam family "Bacterial small subunit ribosomal RNA", at positions 559 to 923 of the family's 1533-position model. The record is from RNAcentral. Lineage: Bacteria; Pseudomonadati; Pseudomonadota; Gammaproteobacteria; Vibrionales; Vibrionaceae.
CGUAAAGCGCAUGCAGGUGGUUUGUUAAGUCAGAUGUGAAAGCCCGGGGCUCAACCUCGGAAUUGCAUUUGAAACUGGCAGACUAGAGUACUGUAGAGGGGGGUAGAAUUUCAGGUGUAGCGGUGAAAUGCGUAGAGAUCUGAAGGAAUACCGGUGGCGAAGGCGGCCCCCUGGACAGAUACUGACACUCAGAUGCGAAAGCGUGGGGAGCAAACAGGAUUAGAUACCCUGGUAGUCCACGCCGUAAACGAUGUCUACUUGGAGGUUGUGGCCUUGAGCCGUGGCUUUCGGAGCUAACGCGUUAAGUAGACCGCCUGGGGAGUACGGUCGCAAGAUUAAAACUCAAAGGAAUUGACGGGGGCCCG